AACAGGAUUAGAUACCCUGGUAGUCCACGCUGUAAACGAUGUCGACUUGGAGGUUGUGCCCUUGAGGCGUGGCUUCCGGAGCUAACGCGUUAAGUCGACCGCCUGGGGAGUACGGCCGCAAGGUUAAAACUCAAAUGAAUUGACGGGGGCCCGCACAAGCGGUGGAGCAUGUGGUUUAAUUCGAUGCAACGCGAAGAACCUUACCUACUCUUGACAUCCAGAGAAUUUGCUAGAGAUAGCUUAGUGCCUUCGGGAACUCUGAGACAGGUGCUGCAUGGCUGUCGUCAGCUCGUGUUGUGAAAUGUUGGGUUAAGUCCCGCAACGAGCGCAACCCUUAUCCUUUGUUGCCAGCACGUAAUGGUGGGAACUCAAAGGAGACUGCCGGUGAUAAACCGGAGGAAGGUGGGGAUGACGUCAAGUCAUCAUGGCCCUUACGAGUAGGGCUACACACGUGCUACAAUGGCAUAUACAAAGAGAAGCGAACUCGCGAGAGCAAGCGGACCUCAUAAAGUAUGUCGUAGUCCGGAUUGGAGUCUGCAACUCGACUCCAUGGAGUCGGAAUCGCUAGUAAUCGUAGAUCAGAAUGCUACGGUGAAUACGUUCCCGGGCCUUGUACACACCGCCCGUCACACCAUGGGAGUGGGUUGCAAAAGAAGUAGGUAGCUUAACCUUCGGGAGGGCGCUUACCACUUUGUGAUUCAUGACUGGGGUGAAGUCGUAACAAGGUAACC
Molecule: ribosomal RNA, 731 nt
Filed under: uncultured bacterium
Lineage: Bacteria
Description: bacterial SSU rRNA
Rfam family: Bacterial small subunit ribosomal RNA
Source: RNAcentral